UACGUAGGUGGCAAGCGUUGUCCGGAUUUACUGGGCGUAAAGGGAGCGUAGGCGGAUACUUAAGUGGGAUGUGAAAUACCUGGGCUUAACUUGGGUGCUGCAUUCCAAACUGGGUGUCUAGAGUGUUGGAGAGGAAAGUGGAAUUCCUAGUGUAGCGGUGAAAUGCGUAGAGAUUAGGAAGAACACCAGUGGCGAAGGCGACUUUCUGGACAAUAACUGACGCUGAGGCUCGAAAGCGUGGGGAGCAAACAGGAUUAGAUACCCUGGUAGUCCACGCCGUAAACGAUGGGUACUAGGUGUAGGGGGGAUCGACUCCCUCUGGGCCGCCGUUAACACAAUAAGUACCCCGCCUGGGGAGUACGGUCGCAAGAUUAAA
This 376-nucleotide ribosomal RNA is filed under the name uncultured bacterium. RNAcentral describes it as "bacterial SSU rRNA". It matches the Rfam family "Bacterial small subunit ribosomal RNA", at positions 524 to 898 of the family's 1533-position model. The record is from RNAcentral.